AUGGGAAAGAUUGACUCACGAGAGAUUGGAGAGGUAGAUUCGCACGGUGAUAGUGCAAGCAGCUUGCUUCUAAUUAAAUAUGCGACUGAGUCUCAAAGCAUUUGCUUUCAGCCGCAGAGAGAAGAAGCUGCCCAAGAAUGGGAAGGAAGAAAUAUAUCAUCAUCUGUCUGUCCACAGGCUUUCCUUUGGGCUUAUGGAGAUUUCCUAGUGGUAAUUAUUUCCCACUGACUCAGAUGGAAGGACAGCGUGGAUGCCUGACAGACAGUAAGUUUAUGCCUUGUUUUUGUUAUUUGUAUUUCAAGAUUAACUGGAGAAGCUGAAACUGUUUGAUUAAUCGCAAAUUCUAUAUUGUAAGCAUUAAUGCUGUACAACUGUAUGAAUCUAUUAAUGUGAGAUAUUGCAGAUGUAAUUUAGCUCUUCUUAUCUCCCUGUUACUUACCGUAACUGUUUAGGCAGAUACUGAUAACUGUAUUGUUCUAUCCUGAAGAUAAUGCAGCCUAUUAAAUAAACACUGAUUUAUAUGUCA
RNAcentral lists this long non-coding RNA (526 nucleotides) under Phasianus colchicus (ring-necked pheasant). Its description in RNAcentral is "lncRNA (ENSPCLG00000022014.1)". The record is from RNAcentral. Lineage: Eukaryota; Metazoa; Chordata; Aves; Galliformes; Phasianidae.